UUAUUCUUCGCGUAACAUUUAUAGAAUCAGAAAACGAUUACGGUGAUUUUUGAACUUAAUCGCUAACUUAUAUCACCAUGAAAGUUGAAGGCUCCAAGAGAUGAAAGUGGAUAACUAUACUUCUUGUUGGUUUGCUGUCACUUGUUGUGGGCGCAAUUUCGGUAGGGGGAUCAAACCUGCUUCUUUUUACGGGUGAGAUGCCAAAUCCGCCAACACAUAUUCUCGAGCCUGUUGCUUCUUUCAAGAGUGUUCCUCGUUGCUAUAACCUGCACAUCUCCGUUUUAUUUAUCGAAGGUAUAUCUGAUAUUAUGAUUUGAUACUUAAACGAGUUUUGAAGAGGAUAUAUGAAAUUAUCACGAAUACACAAUUUUAUAGUGAACUAGAUUGAGAGGGAUGAAUGAAACCUUGAUCCAGGUUCGGUGGAGGUCGGAUUCAUCAACACUAUUAACAACUUCUUCAACAAAGUAGUUGGUGGGACUGAAGUGUUUAUCGCGCUUGACGUUGUCUUGAAGCUUUUCCAGCUUCAUCUUUGUAUCAACUCCAUUUUGAGUCUUCAAAUUUGCUCCUAAGUCCAAGAUCGCCUCCAAGUACCCGUUUAUCCAUUCGUUCCUUGCCAUCUCAAAACCGCUACCGCUUCCUAGCGGCAGUGGUAGUGGUGGUGGUGGUGAUGGGAGGAGGAGAAGCUUUCUUGGUUUGAAACAGAUAUGUGGGAGGCCUUUGAUGCCUUAUAAAGGCCUUUUGGCAUACAAGACAAUAUUAUGCCUUCUUUUAGUUACUAAAAUUGUUUUGUGAAUACAUAAGAUUCUUUUCACUUUGCACACUUACCUUUUAGCACAGAAACUUAUUUAAAUUGAUUGUAGAAAUAUGUAAAUUAUUUUUAGAACAUAUUUUAGCAUAGGCCGGUUUUUGUGACAAACUCAAGUUAGUUGUGUGAACUGUCAUAUGGUAAUGAAAAUAAGUUAGUUAUGUUAAGUUUUUUUACAGAUUAUAUAAUGAUAUUGUUUCUAUUGUACAACCCUGUGUAAUACAU
This 1030-nucleotide long non-coding RNA is filed under the name Helianthus annuus (common sunflower). RNAcentral describes it as "sRNA HanXRQr2_Chr05g0221061". Lineage: Eukaryota; Viridiplantae; Streptophyta; Magnoliopsida; Asterales; Asteraceae. The record is from RNAcentral.